GACAUCAUAGCCAAGUGGUUACGGCGAUAGAUUAGAAAUCUAUUUCCCUUUGGGAGCGCAGGUUCGAAUCCUGCUGGUGUCG
Lactarius deliciosus is the source of this 82-nucleotide non-coding RNA. The record is from the annotation of a GenBank genome assembly. NCBI's taxonomy places the organism in Eukaryota, Fungi, Basidiomycota, Agaricomycetes, Russulales, Russulaceae.